AAGAAGUGAGGAUGUAGAGUUUGCAGUUGUGAGAUUCAACUUCUGCUUCCAUGGAUUCGUAGAAUACAUCUGGUAAGUAUUCAUGCUGAAAUAAAAUAAUAUAAGAAUUCAGAGAGAGUAAAGAAAGUUGAAAAUAGAACAAGUUGUGAUUUGUUUUAUCAAUUGGCAGUUACCUUCCAUAUGUCUCUUACAGUAAAACUGGAAGAUGGUUUGAGACCAAGGAUAUCCCAUUUGGCUGUGAUGAUUACAGUAAUGGAACAUCGAUUCCACAAGGCAAUCACUACACGGUUUUCAGAUAGAGGACCUCCCCAAACCUUGAAAUGAGGAAAUGAUUGUCGUUUAGGAUUAUUCUUUAUAUUUCUGAAGAAAUUUUUUAUAGGAAUGAAAUGUGUUUAUAUGAUGCAGACCUGACUGCAACCAUCUUUUCCUUCGGAAAAUAAUUUUCUUCCUUGAACGCCAAGUUGAUCUAGGAGAAGAAGGAAAAUUUCAUAUCAAUAAAUAAAUUACAGAUAGAUUUGAAGAAGUAGAUGUUACAGAGAACAGAAACCUUGAUUCACGGAGAUGACCUCUUCGUUGCUCAAGAUUUCUAAUGUAUCGGAAGUCAUAUUUCGUACAUCACAGCCAAUCAAAAGUGGAGCCUGAAACCCAAUUAGGAUAUUCAUUUAAAAAGUAAUCAAAAUUAAUUUACUAAAAUUCAAAAACACACCUUCAUCAGUGCCCAAAUACUAAAAUGUGCACGAUAUUCCUGUUUAGUCAUACCACCAUUGCCAACCUCCAGCAUAUCAGGAUCUAGACAGAAAAUCCAUAGAUGGAUGAGUGGAUGAAUUGUCUUAAGAUAUAAAUUGUGAGAUUACCAUUCCAUCCACCAGGACCUGCAUAGGCUGCCCACUUGUCAUUGAGAUCAGCAAUGGUAGUCAUGCUAAAGGUUGUAAGGAAUUUAGAAACUUAUAAUGAAACUAAAUGAUAGAACAUUUAAAAUCUACCACCUUUCCCAGGAGUCUAUAAUAUCAUCUGUUGUUCUCCAACUGUUACCAACUGGUCUAGCCCAUAAGGCAGGGUCUUCUUCACCCCUAAAGAAAGAAGAAUACUGAGAAGUUGCUUUUUAAGAAGAAGAAAAAUCAACAUUUCUUAAAUAUAAAACGAUUAUGUUUGUUAUUACCAUUCACAGAGGGAGUAAAAUAUGGUCCUGCCGGUUGAAUUCAAUGCAUCACGCAUAGGAGGGUAACUAGGAAGUAAAUGAAAGUAAAUUAUUUGUAGAAAGGAAAUAUGCAUUUUUCCUAUCUAUGUGUGUGAUUAUUUAGAUAAAGAUAAUGGGAAUAUUAAUACCGUUUCUGCGGAUCAAUUCCCAAAUUAAAGCAGUUAUCAUACUUUAAAUAGUCGAUUCCCUGUAAAAAAAUGAAAGUGAUUCAAUGUAUGUUUAGUGUUUACAAAAUGCUUUGAUAUCAAAUUAAUAGCAUUACCCAAGAUGCGAAAAGAUUUGCAUCUUUAAUCUCAUGGAAAAGAGAUCCAGGUCGCAGUUGACAUGUUAAAGCCCUGAAAUUUUCAUUAUCAUAAGGUAGAAUUGAAUGAAUAUAAUGGUAAAAUAAUAAUUAUUUUAAUAUCAUAAUGACAGACUCUACCCGGCAUCGGAGUAUAAACCAAGUUUUAAACCAUUUUCAUGCAUGUAAUCCGCAAGUGCUUGUAUGCCAGAAGGAAAAUCUUUAUGAUCAGGUACCAAAUCCCCCUAAAAAUUGAAGAAUAAGUGAAUGUAUUUUUUUAUGUUAAAAAGGUGGUUAAAAUGCUCAUCCUAAAUUUCUAACCUUUAAAUUCCGAAGAAAAGCAGACCAGCAGUCAUCUGCCAUGAAUAACCAGAAGAAGAUGGAAGUAAAUAAAUAUGUCAGUCAGAGUGUGUAUCUUAAUUUAGUCAUGUAUUAGUGUGAUGUUAGUGGCAUAAUUAGUGUGUUACAUGACUUUGUGGGUAGUUAACUAGUUAUAGUUCAAUGAAUAUAUAUAACCUCAUGAGACGUCUUAUAAUGUUGAUAUCUUUGAAAUGUCUAAAGAUAGGUAAAGAAUCAUAGAAUGGUCUUCUAUUUGCUUGGUCUUGUUUGCAUGUUCAGUAAAAAUAAUAUAGCCUCAUGAGUUUGAUCUAACUAUCUAAAGAAUGAAUGAAAGAUCAAUUUAGUUUAUGUUUAGUUUAAUUGAGAUUAUAAGUAUAUAAACCAGUACUCUGUACAUAUAUACUGUUUUACCUUACCUAUAUUGAUGUAUGUGUAUCCAAGUGCAGCUAGCCCAGUUGAGAUCAUUGCAUCCGCUGUUCAGGAGAAAACAUCGACAAAUAAACUUACACAUUUAGAUUUAAAUGAAGAAGAAGUUGACAAGUGCUAACCUGUUUCUUUGAUCACUG
This 2383-nucleotide long non-coding RNA is filed under the name Zostera marina. Its description in RNAcentral is "long non-coding RNA (ZMAR_LNC004800)". The record is from RNAcentral. Lineage: Eukaryota; Viridiplantae; Streptophyta; Magnoliopsida; Alismatales; Zosteraceae.